CCCCGUUUCAUCGUCUCCAUUCACCCCAUGCAACGCCGCCGUGAGCCGCCGGCCGAAAAUCGCCUCCGCCGGCGGUGAUGCUCCUUUCCCGUCCAAAAAUACACCCUAGAACCCUCUUUCUCUCCUCUUUCCAACCCCCAACAUAAUUUCACUCAAAUCCCGGCCAAACGUUUCGAAUCUUCAAUCGAAAGUCUCCGGCCAAAACGUCACCCUUCCCAAACUCAACCAAAUUUACACCAUAGAACCGCUGUGAUCUCCUCUCUCAAACCCCCCAAACCCCGUCCCUCGAAUCUAACCCAAACUGUUCGAAUAUUGAUUUGAAAGUUCCGGCCAAACCCUAAAGUCCUCCAAAUCCCACUAAAUUGACACCCCUCACCCUCCUCGCUUCCCUCAUGAGGAAUUCAAUGUCAGUAGAGCUCAAGUCAGCGAGUUGUGAGUUGGCCGGAUUUCUGGAGUCAUGUUAGUGAGUUUAGCAGGUAUUGGAAGGCAGAACUACUAAAAAGAACAAAGAAAAUGCAAAUGGAGAAUUUAAGGCUUACAAGCCUUCAAAAGUUUCUAUGGGUUUGAACAAGAAAAGCUCACACGCUGAUUAGAUAAAUGGUGAGGUCAAGCUUACAGAAAUGGAUCGGUUACAAAAGCAGGAGAUGAUGUGAAAGGUGUUAAAUUAGCCAUGUAUUAGAAAAGAAACUUGUAGCUGGGGGUACUUCAAAUGGGGUUUCUAAUAGAUACCAACUUAAAUUGAUUAACGUGUAGAGUGUUAUCAUGAUACAACAAUUUUUUUCUACUUUAUUGUUAGGUUGCACCUUUGAACAAUUGGUUUUACUAGUUAAUGUAGUACAUAAUAUAAGUACAUAAAAAUGUUGCCUAAA
Molecule: long non-coding RNA, 869 nt
Organism: Nicotiana tabacum (common tobacco)
Lineage: Eukaryota; Viridiplantae; Streptophyta; Magnoliopsida; Solanales; Solanaceae
Source: RefSeq, a predicted model, not a curated record